AAUGAACGCUGGCGGCAGGCCUAACACAUGCAAGUCGAGCGGAAGAAGCGGGCUUGGUCGUGCAUGCAGCGGCGGCGGGUUGGGUACUGCCUAGGAAUCUGCCAGGACGCGGGGGAAAACGUCCGAAUACGGGCGCUAAUACCGCAUACGUCCUGUGGUCGACAGUGGAGGAGCUUCGGACCGCACGCCAUCAGGUGAGGCUAGGUGCGAAUGCCUAGUUGGUGGCGUAAAGGCCUACCAAGGCUACGAUCCGUAACUGGUCUGAGAGGAUGAUCAGUCACACUGGAACUGAGACACAGUCCAGACUCCUACGGGAGGCAGCAGUGGGGACUAUUGCGCGAUGGGCGAAAGCCUGAUCCAGCCAUGCCGCGUGUGUGAUGAAGGUCUUCGGAUUGUAAAGCGCUUUAGGUCGUGAGGAAGGACAGUACGUUAAUCCCUUGCUGUUUUGACGUUACCAACAGAAUAAGCACCGGCUAACUUCGUG
Molecule: ribosomal RNA, 484 nt
Filed under: uncultured bacterium
Lineage: Bacteria
Description: partial 16S ribosomal RNA
Rfam family: Bacterial small subunit ribosomal RNA
Source: RNAcentral